UCAAAGCGGAGAGGUA
This 16-nucleotide unclassified non-coding RNA is filed under the name Escherichia coli. RNAcentral describes it as "RNA (16-MER) from Escherichia coli (PDB 8FVW, chain C)". The record is from RNAcentral. Lineage: Bacteria; Pseudomonadati; Pseudomonadota; Gammaproteobacteria; Enterobacterales; Enterobacteriaceae.